This 253-nucleotide ribosomal RNA is filed under the name uncultured bacterium. Its description in RNAcentral is "partial 16S ribosomal RNA". It matches the Rfam family "Bacterial small subunit ribosomal RNA", at positions 524 to 776 of the family's 1533-position model. The record is from RNAcentral.
UACGUAGGUGGCAAGCGUUGUCCGGAUUUACUGGGCGUAAAGGGUGCGUAGGCGGCUUGCCAAGUAGGGUGUGAAAGCCCCCGGCUUAACCGGGGAAUUGCGCCCUAAACUGGCGAGCUGGAGUGAGAUAGGGGUGUGUGGAACUUCCGGUGGAGCGGUGAAAUGUGUUGAUAUCGGAAGGAACGCCGGUGGCGAAAGCGACACACUGGGUCUCAACUGACGCUGAGGCACGAAAGCCAGGGGAGCGAACGGG